Molecule: long non-coding RNA, 724 nt
Organism: Zonotrichia leucophrys gambelii
Lineage: Eukaryota; Metazoa; Chordata; Aves; Passeriformes; Passerellidae
Exons: 6
Source: RefSeq, a predicted model, not a curated record
AUUGUCUGGAGCAGCCUCAGCUGGGAUCACCACCCACUCCCCCUUUCUUUUCUCCUCUUCAGGAGCUGGAGCUGUGGUUCCUGCUCCUUUCCCAAGCUGCCUGAGGAUCACUGGAUGGCCACCUGAGCACGCAGCCCAGCUCUGCCUGGAUUGGCACUGCACCAGACAGCAUCAAGAGAGCACUUGUAGCACAAAUCCAGGGGAGGAGAGGUCUGGUGCUCAUCUGAGAGGGUGCUGUGAUGACCUUCAUGGAUGGAUGAACUCAUCUGGUAGCUGCUCCUAAGGAUCCUAAUGGCUUAAAUGAGUGGGAACUGAUGAAACAAUCUGUACUUCAAACAGCUUUCUCCAAAAUUCCUGACAUUCAGCUGUAACCAUUGUUUACCCAUUUUAGGAAAUUAGAGGAUAUAAUCUAUGCUUCAUUAUGUUGUUACUGCAGUUUAAAACCAGAGCAAAUUAAGGGAUCUCACUGUAAUAUUUGAGCAAAGAGGAAAUGACACCAUUGUUGAAGAGUUUUCAGCUAUUUGAGGACUGAAAACAGAAGUUCAGUACACUGCAAAUGGAGAUUGCAAAACUUCUUGAACCAUCUUAGUUUUGGUUCUCUCAUGCAAUUACUAGAAGGAAAAGAUGUGAGAGGGGAGGAAGAUGUGAAGGAAUAAAUAUAGAUGACAUUGCAGAAGGUAAUAGCAGCUGCAGCUGGGGGCAGAAGCAGAGAGUAAAGAUCCAG